UACGUAGGGUGCAAGCGUUGUCCGGAAUUAUUGGGCGUAAAGAGCUCGUAGGCGGUCUGUCGCGUCGGAUGUGAAAACCCAGGGCUCAACCCUGGGCCUGCAUUCGAUACGGGCAGACUAGAGUUCGGUAGGGGAGACUGGAAUUCCUGGUGUAGCAGUGAAAUGCGCAGAUAUCAGGAGGAACACCGGUGGCGAAGGCGGGUCUCUGGGCCGAAACUGACGCUGAGGAGCGAAAGCGUGGGGAGCAAACAGG
This 253-nucleotide ribosomal RNA is filed under the name uncultured bacterium. Its description in RNAcentral is "partial 16S ribosomal RNA". It matches the Rfam family "Bacterial small subunit ribosomal RNA", at positions 524 to 776 of the family's 1533-position model. The record is from RNAcentral.